UCGUUUUCGUGGACUUGAAUUUCAAGUCUCCUCUCCGAUGGCCUCUCUACCAUCCAUGUCUUCUCCACUACGUCUCCCGCGCUAACCAACCUACAAAGAUCAGAGAUCGCGAGCGCGAGAGCUCGAGGUCGCAGAGGAGGAGAGAGAGAGAAGGAGAUCAAGAAGCACGGCAAUGGCGAGGAGGCUCGCCGCCGCGCUGUGUCUCGCGGUGGCCGCGGUGAGCGUGGCCGUGGCGACGGCGAGGUUCGUGGUGGAGAAGAACAGCGUGAAGGUGCUGUCGCCGCGGUCGCUGCGGGGGCGGCACGAGGCGGCGAUCGCCAACUACGGCGUGCCGGACUACGGCGGCACGCUCACCGGCGUGGUGGUGUACCCGGCGGACGCGAGGCUGGCCGACGGGUGCAGGCCGUUCGGCGAGGCGGCGGCGAAGGCGCUCAGGUCGCGGUCGCGCCGCCCCGUCGUGCUCCUCGUCGACCGCGGCGGCUGCUACUUCGCGCUCAAGACGUGGCACGCGCAGCUCGCCGGCGCGGCGGCCGUGCUGGUGGCGGACGGCGUCGACGAGCCGCUGCUCACGAUGGACAGCCCCGAGGAGGAGACCCCCGACAUGGCGUUCCUCGCCAACAUCACCGUCCCGUCGGCGCUCGUCACCAAGCAGUUCGGCGACGCCCUCCGCGCCGCCGCCUCCGCCGCCGACGACGAGGUGGUGGUGCGGCUGGACUGGCGCGAGUCGAUGCCGCACCCCGACGAGCGCGUCGAGUACGAGCUCUGGACGAACAGCAACGACGAGUGCGGGCCGCGGUGCGACGAGCAGGCGGCGUUCGUCGGCGCGUUCCGCGGCCACGCGCAGCUGCUGGAGAAGCGCGGCUACGCGCUGUUCACGCCGCACUACAUCACCUGGUUCUGCCCCGACGCGUUCCUGGAGACGACGCAGUGCAAGGCGCAGUGCGUCAACCGCGGCCGCUACUGCGCCCCCGACCCCGACGGCGACCUCGCCGCCGGCUACUCCGGCCGCGACGUCGUGCUCGAGAACCUCAGGCAGCUCUGCGUCCACCGCGUCGCCAACGCGCGCAACGCCUCCUGGCUCUGGUGGGACUACGUCGCCGACUACCACCUCCGCUGCUCCAUGAAGGGCGACCACUACACCCGCCGCUGCGCCGACGACGUCGCCAAGUCGCUCGGUUUGCCGAUGGAUUUGAUCGACGAGUGCAUGGGGGAUCCCGACGCCGACGUCGAGAACGACGUGCUCAAGACGGAGCAGAUUGUUCAGGUUGGACAUGGCACCAGAGGGGAUGUGACGAUCUUGCCGACGCUGGUGAUCAACAAUGUGCAGUACCGGGGCAAAUUGGAGAGCACUUCGGUUCUCAAGGCGAUUUGUGCUGGAUUCAAGGAGUCCACUGAGCCUGAUGUCUGCCUGACACCAGAAAUGGAGACUGACGAGUGCCUGAACAACAAUGGCGGCUGCUGGCGAGACGAGAAGACCAACAUCACUGCCUGCAAGGACACUUUCAGGGGAAGAAUUUGCCAGUGCCCUGUAGUUGAUGGUGUUCAGUACCAAGGAGACGGCUACACCCACUGCAAAGCGGUCGGACCAGGGCGGUGCGCGAUGAACAACGGUGGCUGCUGGAAGGGGACGAGAGACGGCAAGACGUUCUCUGCUUGCUCGGAUUCAGACUUGAGUGGGUGCAAGUGCCCACCUGGGUUCAAGGGCGACGGGCUCCAUUGCGAAGACGUCGACGAGUGCAGCGAGAAGCUGGCGUGCUCCUGCCCUCACUGCUCCUGCAAGAACACAUGGGGUUCGUUCGACUGCAGCUGCCAUGGCAACAACCUGAUGUACAUCAAAGCUGAAGAUACCUGCAUUGCGAAGAACAUGUCGGCGUUUGGGUGGCUGGUGACGACGCUGGUGCUGUCCUGCCUCGCCGGCGCCGGCGUCGCCGGAUACGUGUUCUACAAGUACAGGCUCAGGAGGUACAUGGAUUCAGAGGUGAUGGCGAUCAUGUCGCAGUACAUGCCUCUCGAGGGCCAGAACGGCGAGAGGCUGCCGCUGAGAGAGGAGGCCCAGGUUGAGCAUGCUUAGCUAGGCAGGUACUAACAACUUCCUGUCUGAACUCUGAACAGAAAUUGUGGCCAAUUGCAGAGGUUGAACAUUUUGGCAAUGUCCAUUCGUUUUGAGACGCCAAGACACAUGACAGCGACGAAUGCCGCGAUGUACAUGGCGAAGUUCAGACAUCAUACUUGAUGACAGGGGUUCUUGCAGUUUCUGCUUGGUGCUUUUGUAGAGAACUGAACCAGAUAGGUUCAGAGUUUCUGGUAGAAGAACGGGAUAAGUCUAUGUCAAGCCGGUGCACCGCAAAGUGCAGACUAGACAAGUAUAGCUGCUGUAAUGCAGAUUUGUUAGAAUAUAUUGUGAAUAAUAGAUCAACAAUCUUCCUAAUAACUUUGAAUCUUGAACGCCUGAUUUGUGGCAUCACUUCAUUAACAA
Molecule: RNA transcript, 2476 nt
Organism: Oryza sativa Japonica Group (Japanese rice)
Lineage: Eukaryota; Viridiplantae; Streptophyta; Magnoliopsida; Poales; Poaceae
Gene name: vacuolar-sorting receptor 7
Source: RefSeq, a predicted model, not a curated record